GAAAGCCUGAUCCAGCAAUGCCGCGUGUGUGAAGAAGGCCUUCGGGUUGUAAAGCACUUUUGUCCGGAAAGAAAUCCUUGGCUCUAAUACAGUCGGGGGAUGACGGUACCGGAAGAAUAAGCACCGGCUAACUACGUGCCAGCAGCCGCGGUAAUACGUAGGGUGCGAGCGUUAAUCGGAAUUACUGGGCGUAAAGCGUGCGCAGGCGGUUUGCUAAGACCGAUGUGAAAUCCCCGGGCUCAACCUGGGAACUGCAUUGGUGACUGGCAGGCUAGAGUAUGGCAGAGGGGGGUAGAAUUCCACGUGUAGCAGUGAAAUGCGUAGAGAUGUGGAGGAAUACCGAUGGCGAAGGCAGCCCCCUGGGCCAAUACUGACGCUCAUGCACGAAAGCGUGGGGAGCAAACAGGAUUAGAUACCCUGGUAGUCCACGCCCUAAACGAUGUCAACUAGUUGUUGGGGAUUCAUUUCCUUAGUAACGUAGCUAACGCGUGAAGUUGACCGCCUGGGGAGUACGGUCGCAAGAUUAAAACUCAAAGGAAUUGACGGGGACCCGCACAAGCGGUGGAUGAUGUGGAUUAAUUCGAUGCAACGCGAAAAACCUUACCUACCCUUGACAUGGUCGGAAUCCCGCUGAGAGGUGGGAGUGCUCGAAAGA
This 655-nucleotide ribosomal RNA is filed under the name Burkholderia cepacia. RNAcentral describes it as "bacterial SSU rRNA". It matches the Rfam family "Bacterial small subunit ribosomal RNA", at positions 377 to 1025 of the family's 1533-position model. The record is from RNAcentral. Lineage: Bacteria; Pseudomonadati; Pseudomonadota; Betaproteobacteria; Burkholderiales; Burkholderiaceae.